Molecule: non-coding RNA, 45 nt
Filed under: Schistosoma margrebowiei
Lineage: Eukaryota; Metazoa; Platyhelminthes; Trematoda; Strigeidida; Schistosomatidae
Source: RNAcentral
AUUUAGCUGACGCGUGCCAAAUAGGAUAAAACACGUGUCCUGUAU